This 253-nucleotide ribosomal RNA is filed under the name uncultured bacterium. RNAcentral's name for it is "partial 16S ribosomal RNA". It matches the Rfam family "Bacterial small subunit ribosomal RNA", at positions 524 to 776 of the family's 1533-position model. The record is from RNAcentral.
UACGGAGGGUGCGAGCGUUGUCCGGAAUCAUUGGGCGUAAAGAGCGCGCAGGCGGUCGUUCAAGUCGCGUGUGAAAGCCCCCGGCUCAACUGGGGAGGGUCACGCGAUACUGAUCGACUCGAAGGCAGGAGAGGGAAGUGGAAUUCCCGGUGUAGUGGUGAAAUGCGUAGAUAUCGGGAGGAACACCAGUGGCGAAGGCGACUUCCUGGCCUGUUCUUGACGCUGAGGCGCGAAAGCUAGGGGAGCAAACGGG